UGGGGAAUAUUGCGCAAUGGGGGGAACCCUGACGCAGCAACGCCGCGUGAAGGAAGAAGGUCUUCGGAUUGUAAACUUUUGUCUUUGGUGAAGAUAGUGACGGUAGCCAAGGAGGAAGCCACGGCUAACUACGUGCCAGCAGCCGCGGUAAUACGUAGGUGGCAAGCGUUGUCCGGAUUUACUGGGUGUAAAGGGCGUGUAGACGGGUUGUUAAGUCAGAUGUGAAAUACCGCAGCUUAACUGCGGGGCUGCAUAUGAUACUGGCAAUCUUGAGUGCGGGAGAGGAAAGCGGAAUUCCUAGUGUAGCGGUGAAAUGCGUAGAUAUUAGGAGGAACACCAGUGGCGAAGGCGGCUUUCUGGACCGUAACUGACGUUGAGGCGCGAAAGCGUGGGUA
Molecule: ribosomal RNA, 395 nt
Filed under: uncultured Clostridium sp.
Lineage: Bacteria; Bacillati; Bacillota; Clostridia; Eubacteriales; Clostridiaceae
Description: bacterial SSU rRNA
Rfam family: Bacterial small subunit ribosomal RNA
Source: RNAcentral